CUGGGUUGUAUUUUAAAAUUUAUGCAACACAUUUCCCUUAUGUAUCCAUUGCAAGUAUACAAAACACAGUAGCCUACAGACGUCGCUUUUGCAUUUUAGAUUCAGCUUUGACGAGUCAUACAGUAUUAACCUUUCACUGCCCAGUUUUAUCUGUCCAUAUCACAUAAACAUGCUGUUCUCCCAUCUGUGAUGAUGAUGUUCAUGUUUACAUUUGAAUUACUGGUUAUUUCCAUAGCAACACGAAGGCAGCUUCAGUGGUACUUCAUGGGCACUGUACAGAGAACAUUAGGCAGUGCCUGAUGACCCUGUGGAUUUAUUAUAAGCACUCAAAUGGGACUCCAUGUAAGAUUAUAUUCAUUGUUACUUACUGAAUUAUUUAUCUCUAAUAAUUUGAAGUCUGUCAUAAUCUAUUUAUUUUUGUUCCCAAUCAAAGAAAUGUUUGUAAAUCAGUUCACGUUCUUUAGUUAUGAAGCAGUUUUACAUUGUAAUCAAAAAGUCAGAUAAUUAGUUUCUUCAUUAACUCACAAUGCUCUUGUGAAAAUAUCUUUAUAUGCUCGUCUUAACAUUGUGAAAUCCUUUCUAACUGGAAAAUUACCUGCUGUAGAUCCACAUCUAACCUGCCUAUCCAUUUACGAUAUACUGACUUUUGUAUGUGAAAGUUAAAGCAAUAGCUUUUUUUAAACUUCCAUGAGGAGACCGAAGACCGGGUCUGUCUGUUUGAAUAUGUCUGUGUGUGCAAGGAUAAUCAUGUACUGAUUUGAGGACAGAAAUGUGGUUCUCUUUCGUGGGUUAUUUUGUUGUUUCCACCAUAAAGCAGAUUCAGUCGGGGCUGCACGCAACACCUGAGAAAAGAGCGUUAACCUGUGUAUUUUCUUUUGUCAUACCCGCAUGAGGGACCUUAAUGUGCCAUAGCCUACCCAUUCUUUCCAAAAUACUCAAUUUUAUCUUAUUUUUGUUCAUGAAAAAUUAAAAGCCUUGUGAAAGUUUGUCAUGUUGGACUGUAAAUACACUUCAAAUGACACAUUUGGUCAGAGAACUACAAUGAAAGAUCAUUCCAAAGUGUCUCGAGUUGUUCAUGUGUAAGCAGUCCGUGGAUUCAGAUGUGUCCAGUUGUUAAAUUAAUAUACAUGUGAUUUGUAUGACCUCAAAUGAAUUAUCAAUUUGAGACUAUC
Rhinichthys klamathensis goyatoka is the source of this 1172-nucleotide long non-coding RNA. RefSeq lists it as uncharacterized. The transcript has 2 exons. Lineage: Eukaryota; Metazoa; Chordata; Actinopteri; Cypriniformes; Leuciscidae. The record is from RefSeq and is a predicted model, not a curated record.